CCUACGGGAGGCAGCAGUGGGGAAUAUUGCACAAUGGGGGGAACCCUGAUGCAGCGACGCCGCGUGGGUGAAGAAGCGCCUCGGCGCGUAAAGCCCUGUCAGCAGGGAAGAAAAUGACGGUACCUGAAGAAGAAGCCCCGGCUAACUACGUGCCAGCAGCCGCGGUAAUACGUAGGGGGCAAGCGUUAUCCGGAUUGACUGGGUGUAAAGGGGGCGCAGACGGGGAUGCAAGCCAGGAGUGAAAGCCCGGGGCUCAACCCCGGGACUGCUCUUGAAACUGCGUGGCUGGAGUGCAGGAGGGGCAGGCGGAAUUCCUGGUGUAGCGGUGAAAUGCGUAGAUAUCAGGAGGAACACCGGUGGCGAAGGCGGCCUGCUGGACUGCAACUGACGUUGAGGCCCGAAAGCGUGGGGAGCAAACAGGAUUAGAUACCCUAGUAGUC
Molecule: ribosomal RNA, 440 nt
Filed under: uncultured bacterium
Lineage: Bacteria
Description: partial 16S ribosomal RNA
Rfam family: Bacterial small subunit ribosomal RNA
Source: RNAcentral